CAAAAUCUAACCUUGAGAUCAUGGGUCCUUUGACCAAGUCUGGAGUGGAAGAGGUAACCCUUGGAGGCUAAGACCUGUUGCUUCAUGAACAGGUUUCUCUCUCCUAAGUUUAUUCUUGUCUUCUUGUACUUACCAAAAGUUCUCUGUUUUCCUUUAUCUUGGCUUAGACUUCUCUCUGUGAAGGUGUGCUAUUGUGAGCUGGUCAAGAUUUGCUGACUAUGAAUAGAGAUUAUUCUUUUAGCAUCUUCAGUGCCAAAGUUCUACUUCAGAAUUUCUUUUUUGAUGCACUUUUUCUCAAGGUGAAGUGUCUAAAUCUAGGAACUGGGGAAAAUGGCGGAGACUCAUUCAUUGUUGUCCUAAGACCUCCCCUCUCCUGGUCCUACUGUGGUUGCGUUGGGAGCCUCUCAUCCACGGCUUUCAUGAAGCUGUUUAGUCUGGAGUGGUGGGGAUGCAGAAGGACCCUCCUGCUGUUUCCAUCAUCUCUUGGAGAUGGUAAAGGUUGGUACCUUUUCUGGGUAAUUAUUCAUCCUAGGAGGGAGCACUCCAGGGACAUGUAGUGUUCUGGACUUAAGGGAACUCACCAGGCCAUGCGGCAUCUUUGGGAGAUCUAGAGGAAGCCUGGUCAUCGGCUCCCCUGAACUCUUUCCAAUUGAAGUUUGAAGGCAGUGACAGGAGACCUGUUCUCCAUUUUAACAAACAAGAUAAAGUAAUGUCUGGUCACAAGGACAUAUAACAAAGAAGACUUACUAAGCAGAAGAGGAUAAAUGAUUGGGUUUGUCUGACUUCACACGUGCACAAAGCAAAGUGGAGAACUGAGUCAAGAACUAGACUCUGUUUUUUUCAUUAAUUGCCUGAUGUUUCUCAUUAUAUUUCCCAGAUCAUCUUGGUAGGCACAGCAAGAAAAUAAACAUACAUCAUUGUUCAUUCUUUAUUUACUAAGCUCUAUGUUUGUGAUAUGUGAAAGAAAUUUUAACAUAACAGUUGGUGUUUUGGGAAAUAAAGCUUGUAAGUCUAAUGGAUUGAGACAUCAAAUAGUCUUGUGCUAAGUAAAACUUUUCUUGUGUGUAUGUUCAAUAUCUUCCAGUUCAAUUUGUUUACAAUUUCAUGAUAAUACAAAUAAACCACUCUUAUUAAGCACUAGCCACACUGAUCAAUGUUUUGAACAUUUUACAUAAUUCAACUUACUUAAUCUUCACAAAAAUUAUUUGAAGGGACUAUGAUUAUAAAUAUUUAACAAAAUCAAGGCCCUAUUAUAAAUAUUUUACAAAAAAUGA
Molecule: long non-coding RNA, 1274 nt
Filed under: Equus caballus (horse)
Lineage: Eukaryota; Metazoa; Chordata; Mammalia; Perissodactyla; Equidae
Description: lncRNA (ENSECAG00000044266.1)
Source: RNAcentral